GAAAAUUGAACACCGGAAGUUAGAGUGGCAAGCGGAAGCUAAGAUAUCCUGCACCAACCCCGGAUACGCACCUUCUAAAUCCCCAGAAAAAAAGGUUGUGCAGACGACCAAGUUAAACUGGAAAUCAGAGUCGAAAAUAGAUAGUCGACUCUCGGAGGUUCAUGCGACAAGAUCGGCGUCUACACGGAGAUCGAAGAUCGAUCUAUCGAAGUCGGAACAUGAUCUUCGACCGGCCACGGUUUCUGACUCUGGUCGAGGAGUUAAACAUAACUCGGAGAGUUCUAGUUAAAUGAAAUAUGCGGCUCCGAGAGUUCUGCAGAUAAUAUACUUUUCUCUCAGAGUUUUAGUCGAUUAAAUAUUUAUAUGUAUAGCUCAGAUAGUUCCAG
This is a long non-coding RNA of Eurytemora carolleeae, 386 nucleotides long. RefSeq lists it as uncharacterized. The record is from RefSeq and is a predicted model, not a curated record. Lineage: Eukaryota; Metazoa; Arthropoda; Copepoda; Calanoida; Temoridae. The transcript has 2 exons.